Molecule: transfer RNA, 71 nt
Filed under: Dipodomys ordii (Ord's kangaroo rat)
Lineage: Eukaryota; Metazoa; Chordata; Mammalia; Rodentia; Heteromyidae
Rfam family: tRNA
About the family: Transfer RNA (tRNA) molecules are approximately 80 nucleotides in length. Their secondary structure includes four short double-helical elements and three loops (D, anti-codon, and T loops).
Source: Rfam by way of RNAcentral
GGGAAGGUGGCUCAGUGGUAGAGCGCCUGCCUUGCAUGCAUGAGGCCCUGGGUUCGAUUCCUCAGCACCCU